GAAGGGUUCGAGUGUGAG
RNAcentral lists this small nuclear RNA (18 nucleotides) under Arabidopsis thaliana (thale cress). RNAcentral describes it as "snRNA_11027". The record is from RNAcentral. Lineage: Eukaryota; Viridiplantae; Streptophyta; Magnoliopsida; Brassicales; Brassicaceae.